AACGAACGCUGGCGGCAGGCCUAACACAUGCAAGUCGAACGCCCUAGCAAUAGGGAGUGGCAGACGGGUGAGUAACACGUGGGAACCUUCCCUAUAGUACGGAAUAUACCAGGGAAACUUGGAGCAAUACCGUAUACGCCCGAGAGGGGAAAGGAUUUAUCGCUAUAGGAUGGGCCCGCGUAGGAUUAGCUAGUUGGUGAGGUAAUGGCUCACCAAGGCGACGAUCCUUAGCUGGUUUGAGAGAACGACCAGCCACACUGGGACUGAGACACGGCCCAGACUCCUACGGGAGGCAGCAGUGGGGAAGUAUUGGACAAUGGGCGGCAAGCCUGAUCCAGCCAUGCCGCGUGAGGGAUGACGGCCU
Molecule: ribosomal RNA, 364 nt
Filed under: uncultured bacterium
Lineage: Bacteria
Description: bacterial SSU rRNA
Rfam family: Bacterial small subunit ribosomal RNA
Source: RNAcentral